CAGCAGCCACGGGAAUACGUAGGGAGCGAGCGUUGUCCGGAUUUAUUGGGCGUAAAGAGCUCGUAGGCGGCUUGGUAAGUCGGAUGUGAAACCUCCAGGCUCAACCUGGAGUCGCCAUCCGAUACUGCCAUAGCUAGAGUCCGGUAGGGGCCCACGGAACUCCUGGUGUAGCGGUGAAAUGCGCAGAUAUCAGGAAGAACACCGGUGGCGAAGGCGGUGGGCUGGGCCGGCACUGACGCUGAGGAGCGAAAGCGUGGGGAGCGAACAGGAUUAGAUACCCCUGUAGUCCCUGUCUCUUAUA
RNAcentral lists this ribosomal RNA (301 nucleotides) under uncultured bacterium. Its description in RNAcentral is "partial 16S ribosomal RNA". It matches the Rfam family "Bacterial small subunit ribosomal RNA", at positions 509 to 808 of the family's 1533-position model. The record is from RNAcentral.